UACGAAGGGGGGCUAGCGUUGUUCGGAAUUACUGGGCGUAAAAGCGCACGUAGGCGGAUAUUUAAGUCAGGGGUGAAAUCCCAGAGCUCAACUCUGGAACUGCCUUUGAUACUGGGUAUCUUGAGUAUGGAAGAGGUAAGUGGAAUUGCGAGUGUAGAGGUGAAAUUCGUAGAUAUUCGCAGGAACACCAGUGGCUGGAGGCGGCUUACUGGUCCAUUACUGACGCUGAGGUGCGAAAGCGUGGGGAGCAAACAGGG
Molecule: ribosomal RNA, 257 nt
Filed under: uncultured bacterium
Lineage: Bacteria
Description: partial 16S ribosomal RNA
Rfam family: Bacterial small subunit ribosomal RNA
Source: RNAcentral